Molecule: long non-coding RNA, 2639 nt
Organism: Homo sapiens (human)
Lineage: Eukaryota; Metazoa; Chordata; Mammalia; Primates; Hominidae
Gene: MIR137HG
Product: MIR137 host gene
Source: Ensembl
AUUAGCAUGUUUGGGAUCCACUACUGGAUGGUUAACAGCAGCUUUUGUAACUGUACGCCGACCAUAUCGAAUUAUGCUCUGCUAAAAAUGAACUCUUUGCAGACCAACCCUCUCGGCUGUCAGUGUUUUCCGUUUUCCUAUUUUAACGUUUGUGUAUAGUGGCAGGCGACAGAUGGUGUAGAUCAGAUCGAUUUGAUUGCAUUAGAUGAUUUUUUCCCUUCCCCACUCCUUUCUGGAAGCUCGCAUCAGCUGAAGGCUAUCGCCUGGGACUCCUCGGAAGCAUGAGCAAGCCGCCACCACGCGAAGGCACUGGGGCACAGCCAGCGCGAGGCGCCGAGGUCCCUUCCCAAGGCUUGUUAACACUGUAACCCGGCACUCGGAGAGAAGAAGCAGCUCACACUGCCCAGAGCCUACCUCACUGCACAUCAGAUGACUCCCUGGCUUCUACACACAGUUGGAGUUCCGCUUGAAACCUGGAUUUAGAGGGGUUCUCUGGCCGCCAUGGCACUCAAUCAUACCACCUAGAGUGGACUGGCCGAGACCAGACUGGGUACCAAGCAGAGAAGUGCAGAGGAAAGCACUGGGAGAGCACCAGAAUUGGAAAUAGAGCGGCCAUUUGGAUUUGGGCAGGAAGCAGCCGAGCACAGCUUUGGAUCCUUCUUUAGGGAAAUCGAGUUAUGGAUUUAUGGUCCCGGUCAAGCUCAGCCCAUCCCCAGGCAGGGGCGGGCUCAGCGAGCAGCAAGAGUUCUGGUGGCGGCGGCGGCGGCAGUAGCAGCGGCAGCGGUAGCAGCGGCAGCGGUAGCAGCGGCAGCGGCAGCUUGGUCCUCUGACUCUCUUCGGUGACGGGUAUUCUUGGGUGGAUAAUACGGAUUACGUUGUUAUUGCUUAAGAAUACGCGUAGUCGAGGAGAGUACCAGCGGCAGGGGGGCAGCGGCCGCCCUCCCCAGCCCACCAGCUGGCCACUAAACGCCCGUGGUUGCCAAGGCAUCCAAAGCCUCUGGGAUGUGUUCUGACUGUAAAAACUCUGAUGUUGUGAAAAAAGCUUACGCUUUGCCUCCACUCAAACCAGAUGGUGUUUCGCUCUUAUUGCCCAGGCUGGAGUGCAAUGACGUGAUCUUGACUCACCACAGCCUCUGCAUCCAGGAUUCAAGCUAUUCCCCUGCCUCAGCCUCCCAAAAUGCUGGGAUUAUAGGCGUGAGCCACCACGCCUGGCCAGCAUUCCCAAUUUUUAAAAAUGAAUGAUUGGCACAAAUCUUAGAAAGCCAUUUUCUGUAGAUUUGAAAGCAAUGCUAUUUACAUUGUUACUACUUUCUUGUUAAAUCUUGCAUGUCUGCAGUAUGUGUUGUAAUAGAAACCUAAGAUUAUGAUCUGCUGUAUUCAUAUUUGAAGAAGAAAAUUUCAGACUGUAUAAUCAACUAGUUGAUGAUUCAUAUUUGCUUGUACAAAGUUAAAAGUGUAACUUGCCAGAAAAGAAGGAAGCCUGAAAAGUAUUCUAAAUACAUUAAUAAGAAGGGUUCUACAUGAAUUAAUUUUUGUUUUGCCAUCUACAGAGUUCCUGCCACAUUCUAGGCACUUCAUAUUUGCUGCAACAUUUAUUCAGACAUUGACAGAACAAGAGAAACGAAGUUAAAUUUUAAGUACCAUGGAUUGAAAUUAAAUUUAGGGAAGAUAUUUUAUAGUAUGAAUUGUUCAUCUGUAUUUAACAAGGUAUUCAUUUAUUUUGGGCGAUUUAAGGAAGGUCCUUUCUGGAAACAGGAUUACAAACAUAUGGACCUAUUUAGUCAAUUUCAACCUUGUGAUUUUGAAUCUGACAGGUUCUCAGCUGCUUUUAUUAAAUAACGGAUUUUCUUAAUAAUUACUGUACUCAAACUUAGCAAAAAGCUCUAUUUAUAGCCCAGUUUUUUAGUCACACACUAUUGUGUCUUGUCAAAUUGAAACCAUAUACUACAUUCUUUACUUAUUAAGAUGGUCUUUCUUUGUAAUAAUUUUGGAGUAAAUAGUUUACUUAUCUAAACCUCUGAUUUCUGAUUUAACAGAUUUUUGAAGCAUUUAUUUUCCUUACCAUACAUAAAAAUUGUCAGUUGAGGACAAGGAAGGAUUAACCUGGACUACGGUGAAUAAUUGUUCAGGUUGCUUACUGUGUAACUCCAGAGGAGCAUUCACAUGGUACAAUUUGCAGAUUUAAGUAUUUAUUACAACCAUUUUCUGGCAGAUAACAGUGGAACACCCUGUUCUGUUAAAAUUAGUUUAUUAUGACAAAUUGCCUACAGAUGGACAUAAACUGUCUUGAGGAAGGGCACCUGCUUUGGACUGAAUCGUGUCCCCCCAAAAUCAAAUGUUGAAGCCUAAUCUCUAAUAUGAUGGUAUUUGGAGAUGGGGCCUUUGGGAGAUAACUAGGUUUAGAUGAGGUCAAGAGUGUGGGGCCUUCCUGAUUAGUACCCUGAAAAGAGAAAACACCAGAGAGCUUGCCCUCUCUCCCUCUUACCCCACAGGCACACAAAGAGGUCAUGUGAGUACACAGUGAGAUAACAACCACCUAUGAGAAAACAGAAGAGGCUUCAGAGUGAAAUCUACUUUGCUGGUACUGUAAUCUUGGACAUUAUUCUCUAGAACUGUGAGAUAAUAAAUUUAUCUUAUUU